UUAGCUCCUGCACUCGUGAGAUGGCAAGAAUGAGCUUCCUUCAUGUGGUUGUUGGCACUGGAUGAGCUAAGGAAUAUUUUAAUUUGAAAUUAUGAUGAAGUUUCAUUUGUUGCUUGUGCUUUUCAUGUCAUAUCUAAGAAAUCACUGCCUAAUCCAAGGAGAGUAAUCCUCCUUGAUUAUUAAUCCUCCUUGAUUAAAUGCUCUGUCUUCUUGGCUUGCAGGGAUGGCAGCUGUACCCUCUCGGCCCACUGGGGUGGCAGCCCCAAACCUCUCAGUCCAAGGAGGCGCUGUUGGAUAGGGCUCUGCAUCUGUGGCUCUUUCUUCAGGGUUCACCGUGUUAGCCAGGAUGGUCUCGAUCUCCUGACUUCGUGAUCCACCGCGCCUGGCCGACAUCACAUUUUACUUCUGUCCAUCAGCUCCUCAGUUUAGGAAAAUCUUAUCUUCCUAACAAAUAGAAAACUCUUGUAGCUCAAAUAAGAGGAAAAGAUGAGGCCUAAUGUUUAAAGUCCUGAUGGAUUCAAAGCCCUGAUGGAGUCUCUCCACUCCUCAUACCUGAAGUCUGAAUAUUUGUCAUCUCAGAUUAUCUACAACUAAGGAGGGAACCUGACUUUUUCUUUGUCCCAGAGUGGGCAGGUUAUUCUCCCUCCCAAUACAAACCACCUUAAGGAAAAGAUACAACUUAUUGGCAUAAAUGGCUGGGAUUGUUCUGAGGUUGUUCAUAGGUUCAAAGAAAUUGCUGCAGGGACUAGAACAAGGCCUCACACCACCAAGAUUUUCCUCACUUCUUCAGGCAGCCUUCUGCCUACCUGUCCCGCAUGGCGUCAUUCCUCAGAAGGCUUCUCCAGGCUCCUGGUAAGAUGUGGUCUGGCUGCCUCUUAGUUGACUAACUGUAACUUAAAGAGGGCAUCCUUUCCCAAAGAGCUUAUAUAAAGAGAAAAACUUUUGUUGGCCCUUCAUGGGUCACAUGUCCAUUCUUGGACCAAUUACUAUAUCACAGGAAUGAAUAAAGAGCUGUGAUUGGCCAGGUUCUGCUCGUGUUCCCUUGCCGACCACAGGGGUUGUUUCUGAUGCCGAUGGGGUUUGAGUGCAGAAGAAAUGCAUGGACAGGGAAAAAAAGUAGCCAGCAAAUCUCCCUCAGGUGCAUAUUAAGAAGAAAAAUGGAACUAAAAAGGGAAAACAAUAGCAACAAAGAUCAAAAUAAAUAACAAGGAAGCGGAGAGAAGAAAGAACAUGGUGAAGAGAGUGAAACGCAUUGUCAUUUGGGGUGAAUUGCAGAAAGAAA
Molecule: long non-coding RNA, 1282 nt
Filed under: Homo sapiens (human)
Lineage: Eukaryota; Metazoa; Chordata; Mammalia; Primates; Hominidae
Description: HSALNT0201374
Source: RNAcentral